GUCCUGUCUUCAGCAGCACAUAUACUAAAAUUGGAAUGAUACAGAAAAGAUUAGCAUGGCCCCUGUGCAAGGAUGACAUGCAAAUUCAUGAAGCAUUCCAUAUUUUU
Molecule: small nuclear RNA, 107 nt
Filed under: Myotis davidii
Lineage: Eukaryota; Metazoa; Chordata; Mammalia; Chiroptera; Vespertilionidae
Source: RNAcentral